Molecule: long non-coding RNA, 311 nt
Filed under: Gallus gallus (chicken)
Lineage: Eukaryota; Metazoa; Chordata; Aves; Galliformes; Phasianidae
Source: RNAcentral
CUUUAAUCGCGGUAUAUUAAAGACAAUUCAAUGUUCAAAAUAAUGUUUACUAUUUUAAUUACUUUUCCCACCACAGUUAAAUAGAAAAGAAAUUAUGCAACAAACCUAAUUGAUGUUACAGAUUUUAUUCUUUAAUAUUUAUUUAUUUAUUUAUUUUUAAGAAACUGUAAGAGAAAUACCAUAGAAAAUCUUCCGCAAGAGCACUGAACGAUGAACCAUACAGGAUGAGCAGGGACAUGUACCCCAGCGUUCUUUUGAGGAGCACAACAGCCCAGAGAAGAGUGUGUCAAGCAACUGAGAGUGACUGAGUG